ACAUGCCUACAACAUAGCAUUAAUGCAUUGGAUCCCAUUAUAACUCCACAGUUAAGCAUGCUCAGGCUAGAAUAGUACUGGGUUGGGUGACCACCUGGGAAUUCCUAGUGUUUUACAUGCC
Molecule: non-coding RNA, 121 nt
Organism: Picea glauca (white spruce)
Lineage: Eukaryota; Viridiplantae; Streptophyta; Pinopsida; Pinales; Pinaceae
Source: Rfam